AGACGUCUACAUUAGAUACCCCCGUAGUCCCAGCCGUAAACUAUGCGCGUUAGGUGUAUCGGUGACCACGAGUUACCGAGGUGCCGAAGGGAAACCGUGAAACGUGCCGCCUGGGAAGUACGGUCGCAAGGCUGAAACUUAAAGGAAUUGGUGGGGGAGCACCACAACGGGUGGAGCCUGCGGUUUAAUUGGACUCAACGCCGGGAAGCUCACCGGAUAAGACAGCGGAAUGAUUGCCGGGCUGAAGACUCUGCAUGACUAGCUG
Molecule: ribosomal RNA, 265 nt
Filed under: uncultured archaeon
Lineage: Archaea
Description: partial 16S ribosomal RNA
Rfam family: Archaeal small subunit ribosomal RNA
Source: RNAcentral